Non-coding RNA from Crucibulum laeve, 107 nucleotides. NCBI's taxonomy places the organism in Eukaryota, Fungi, Basidiomycota, Agaricomycetes, Agaricales, Nidulariaceae. The record is from the annotation of a GenBank genome assembly.
GGCAAGAUGGCCGAGCGGUUAAGGCGUGUGACUCAAGCGAUUAGCUUGCUCGAAAUCCGAGUUCUCAUCACAGUAAUGUGGCGUGGGUUCAAGUCCCACUCUUGUCA